Molecule: long non-coding RNA, 672 nt
Organism: Salvelinus namaycush (lake trout)
Lineage: Eukaryota; Metazoa; Chordata; Actinopteri; Salmoniformes; Salmonidae
Exons: 3
Source: RefSeq, a predicted model, not a curated record
UACACACCAGAUAACGUUACUGAUUCAGCAAACAAUAAACAGUGAUCAAAUGGUUAUGCUAACUAGCCUAGUAACGCAAAAAAAUGUAUAGCUGCGUUUAACAAUGUAAUUAACUAGUGGUAAGCUGGUCAGGUAGCAGUAACGUGCAAAUAAUGAUUGUACUUACUUCUCUUUGGGGAGGGCCGCUGCCCCAGUAUUCACCACCUGGUCCUCUGCGACUUCCCGAACCAGCUGAAGUAUACCUCCUGCGCGGUGGAGAACGUCUGUAUGGAUCUGGAGGUGGUCCGUCAUGUUCUGAAAAACAAAGUGGAUGCUUUUUCAUUAUUCUUGAUACUCUGUCCGCUACGUCGCUUUCCUCUCAACAAGCACACAAUGUCAGAUGUCACAACAUGCACACCUCAAUGUCACCUAUGGAAAAGAGUAGAGACUCCUGGAUAGAUUGGAGGAAAAAGCAAACCGCUGGUCAGCCACAGACAACCUACCAGCUUGGAAGCAGUGGGGGAAAAAACUCAAAUGGACUGGAUUAAGUUAGAAAUAAAAGGAAUUCUAAUACAUAAGAGAACCUUGGAGUGGCCAAUCUUCUGCUAGCUAACUACUACACUAGAAAAGCUUUAGCAGCAAUGUACAAAUAAACCUCUUGUUUACGUGUAGAAUUUCUGUUGGAUGUGUACA